This 445-nucleotide ribosomal RNA is filed under the name uncultured bacterium. Its description in RNAcentral is "partial 16S ribosomal RNA". It matches the Rfam family "Bacterial small subunit ribosomal RNA", at positions 354 to 796 of the family's 1533-position model. The record is from RNAcentral.
GUGAGGAAUAUUGCGCAAUGGAGGCAACUCUGACGCAGCCAUGCCGCGUGCAGGAAGAAGGCGCUACGCGUUGUAAACUGCUUUUAACCGGGAAGAAACCCCAGGACGUGUCCUGGGUUGACGGUACCGGAGGAAUAAGCACCGGCUAACUUCGUGCCAGCAGCCGCGGUAAUACGAAGGGUGCAAGCGUUAUCCGGAUUCAUUGGGUUUAAAGGGUGCGUAGGCGGAGCGUUAAGUCAGUGGUGAAAUCCUGCAGCUUAACUGUAGACUUGCCAUUAAGACUGGCGCUCUUGAGUGCGCUUGAAGUGGGCGGAAUGUAUCAUGUAGCGGUGAAAUGCUUAGAUAUGAUACAGAACACCGAUAGCGAAGGCAGCUUGCUGAACCAUUAUUGACGCUGAGGCACGAAAGCGUGGGGAGCGAACAGGAUUAGAAACCCUGGUAGUCC